RNAcentral lists this non-coding RNA (958 nucleotides) under Human immunodeficiency virus 1. Lineage: Riboviria; Pararnavirae; Artverviricota; Revtraviricetes; Ortervirales; Retroviridae. The record is from RNAcentral.
CGCGAUGCUUCAAGCAACGAGUAUAUUAAGCCUGUGUAAUUGUUAAUUUCUCUAUCCCACUCCAUCCAGGUCAUGUUAUUCCAAAUUGUGUCCAGAGAUUUAUUACUCCAACUAGUGUUCCAAGGCACAGAGGUGGUGCAAAUGAGUUUUCCAGAGCAACCCCAAAUCCCUAGGAGCUGUUGAUCACUUAGGUGCCUUUCCACAGCCAGGAGUCUUGCCUGGAGCUGUUUAAUGCCCCAGACUGUGAGUUGCAACAGAUGCUGUUGCGCCUCAAUAGCUCUCAGCAGAUUGUUCUGCUGUUGCACUAUACCAGACAGUAACUGUCUGGCUUGUACCGUCAGCGUUAUUGACGCUGCGCCCAUAGUGCUUCCUGCUAUUCCCAGUAACCCAAGGAACAUAGCUCCUAUUGCUCCCACUGCUCUUUUUUCUCUCUGCACCACUCUUCUCCUUGCCUUGGUGGGUGCUACUCCUAAUGGUUCAAUUCUUACUACCUUAUAUUUAUAUAAUUCACUUCUCCAAUUGUCCAUCAUAUUUCCUCCUUCAGGCCUGAAGGUCUCUGUGUCGUUGGUUGUAUUACCACCAUCUCUUGUUAAUAGCAACCCUGUAAUAUUUGAUGUACAGUUAAUUUGUCCUUGGACGGGAGGGGCAUACAUUGCUUUGCCUACUUCCUGCCACAUGUUUAUGAUUUGUUUUAUUCUGCACGGGAGUGUAAUAGUUGUGCUAUUGCCAUCUGUAGUACUAGUUCCAUUAGCCCUCCAAGUUGAGUUAAACAAUUGUGUUGUGUUACAGUAGAAAAAUUCCCCUCCACAAUUAAAAUUGUGCCUUACAAUCUCUGGGUCCCCUCCUGAGGAGUGAUUAAAGACUAUUGUUUUAUUAUUCCCAAAUUGUUCUCUUAAUUUUUUAGCUACCUGUCUUAAAGUGUUGUUCCAUUGUGCUCUACUAAUGUUACAAUGUGCAA